CUCUUCUUCAACCGCCCCACACCUUUCUCUUUCUUUUCUCUCUUUCUGUAGUGGUCCUCUCUUUCACAUCGAGAGGAUAUGUUAGAUCUGGGAUUGACGGCGACGGCGUCGAGUUUUGCUGUCGAGAAUGAUAGGCGGCAGGAGGAUGAGGCGGCGAGUGGCGAAGAGGAUGACGGCAGGAAAAAGAAAAAAAAAAUAUAAUGUUGCCGGAUGACGAGAGGCGCAAAAUCCAGUACACAAUAGAGUACGCGUUAUUUGCUAUAGUGUACAACACUCUGGAGUCGGAUCCUCCAGGACAGUCGGUGUUCGAAAUAAUGCAGAAUUGUGGAGGUGAGUACAAGAGCAUACCAAUACUGGUGCCACACGAUUGGAAGCCUUGCCUUAAAGCGGCCCAACGGAUGGUGGAGCAGCCGUGUUGUCGUCAAUUGAAAGAACAUGUUUUGCAGCCGCACCGUACGUGUUGUACAGGAUAACUUGAGCGCAAGGGCCAAUUAUAUCCGCUACCUAGGGAGAGCUAACCGCUACCUCUUCAAGGCUCGCCUUUACAUGAAUGACGCUUGCGUUGAAGAAGAUAGGGCUGGAGAGAAGAAACAAACUGAGGCUAUGGAAGCAAAAUUAAGGACAACUGAUGAAGAAGAUAGGGCUUGGCUGCUAGGAUUUCGUUGCGGCUGCGUUUACUGCUGGCCGACUGAGAGUUAUUCGCGGCUAGGGUUCGGAAUAGUAUACCGUAGUAAAUCAUAGUAUACCAUAGUACACCGUAGUACACCAUAGUACACCGUAGUACACCAUAUUAUACCAUAGUCUACUACAGAUUGUUGUAGUGUAUAUAUAUGAACAGACAAAGAAUGUGUCAAAGUGAAGUUCAUGUUUCA
This is a non-coding RNA of Erythranthe guttata (spotted monkey flower), 872 nucleotides long. The record is from RefSeq and is a predicted model, not a curated record. NCBI's taxonomy places the organism in Eukaryota, Viridiplantae, Streptophyta, Magnoliopsida, Lamiales, Phrymaceae.